RNAcentral lists this ribosomal RNA (301 nucleotides) under uncultured bacterium. Its description in RNAcentral is "partial 16S ribosomal RNA". It matches the Rfam family "Bacterial small subunit ribosomal RNA", at positions 509 to 807 of the family's 1533-position model. The record is from RNAcentral.
CAGUCGCCGCGGUAAUACGUAGGGUGCGAGCGUUAAUCGGAAUUACUGGGCGUAAAGCGUGCGCAGGCGGUUCGUUAAGACAGAUGUGAAAUCCCCGGGCUUAACCUGGGAACUGCAUUUGUGACUGGCGAGCUAGAGUAUGGCAGAGGGGGGUAGAAUUCCACGUGUAGCAGUGAAAUGCGUAGAGAUGUGGAGGGAUACCGAUGGCGAAGGCAGCCCCCUGGGCCAAUACUGACGCUCAUGCACGAAAGCGUGGGGAGCAAACAGGAUUAGAUACCCGCGUAGUCCCUGUCUCUUAUAC